This 360-nucleotide transfer RNA is filed under the name uncultured Microcystis sp. RNAcentral's name for it is "partial 16S-23S ribosomal RNA intergenic spacer". The stretch from base 135 to 208 matches the Rfam family "tRNA". The record is from RNAcentral. Lineage: Bacteria; Bacillati; Cyanobacteriota; Cyanophyceae; Chroococcales; Microcystaceae.
AAGGGAGACCUAAUUCAGGUAUGGGACGAAAAAAGAGUAGUCGCUACCAAGAAUCAAUCCCAAAAGGUCGGAGCGAGGCGAAAUUGGCUUUCAAACUAGGUUCUGGGUUCACACAAGACCUGAAUCAGGAACAAGGGCUAUUAGCUCAGGUGGUUAGAGCGCACCCCUGAUAAGGGUGAGGUCCCUGGUUCGAGUCCAGGAUGGCCCACCUGCACAGGUGGCAAAAACAAGAGAAGCGAGGAAUCAGCACCUUAUCUUAUAUACAUAUAUAAGAGAGAAUGCUGGCUCUGAGUACAGAGUCCAGAGGAACCUUGAAAACUGCAUAGAGCUAGGUGAAAAAGCCAAAAAAGAAGACCGCAA